AUAUACUUUACUAUCUCCCCGUUCCUCUUGACUAGUGUCUCUGACUGCCUCUCUGCUGUUUCUAACUGGAUGGCUGUCCACUUCCUUAAACUAAACUUGACCAAAACUGAAAUGCUGGUCUUUCCUCCCUCAAGUGUUGUUACUCCUGUGUGCUUCCCUCCAAGUCAACGGUGCUACCAUCAGCUCCUCCACGUAGGCUCGCUGCCUGGGUGUUCUCUUUGACUCCGACCUCUCCUUCAAUCCUAAUGUUCAGUCUAUCGCCAAAUCCUGUUAUUUCCAUUUCAAAAACAUUGCGCACAUCCGCCCCUACUUAACUCCAG
Pelobates cultripes (western spadefoot toad) is the source of this 320-nucleotide non-coding RNA. The record is from the annotation of a GenBank genome assembly. Lineage: Eukaryota; Metazoa; Chordata; Amphibia; Anura; Pelobatidae.